UAAUCCUCUGUAGUCAUGUUGCAAGUAUGGCCACUGUGUUACAUGCAUGCCAGUAGGUGGCAGAGAGGACAAAGGCUGUGUCUAGUCUCAGUUUUCUGACCAACAGCUGAAUGAGUAGUAGCCUAAGAAU
Molecule: non-coding RNA, 130 nt
Organism: Mus musculus (house mouse)
Lineage: Eukaryota; Metazoa; Chordata; Mammalia; Rodentia; Muridae
Source: Rfam